This 253-nucleotide ribosomal RNA is filed under the name uncultured bacterium. RNAcentral's name for it is "partial 16S ribosomal RNA". It matches the Rfam family "Bacterial small subunit ribosomal RNA", at positions 524 to 776 of the family's 1533-position model. The record is from RNAcentral.
GACGAACCGUGCGAACGUUGUUCGGAAUCACUGGGCUUAAAGGGCGCGUAGGCGGGCUCGCAAGUCAGGGGUGAAAGCCCACGGCUCAACCGUGGAAGUGCCUUUGAUACUGCGGGCCUUGAGGGAGGUAGGGGCGUGCGGAACUUCCGGUGGAGCGGUGAAAUGCGUAGAUAUCGGAAGGAACACCGGUGGCGAAAGCGGCGCGCUGGACCUCUUCUGACGCUGAGGCGCGAAAGCCAGGGGAGCAAACGGG